This 355-nucleotide ribosomal RNA is filed under the name uncultured bacterium. RNAcentral describes it as "bacterial SSU rRNA". It matches the Rfam family "Bacterial small subunit ribosomal RNA", at positions 527 to 881 of the family's 1533-position model. The record is from RNAcentral.
GUAGGUGGCAAGCGUUGUCCGGCUUUACUGGGUGUAAAGGGCGUGUAGGCGGAGCAGCAAGUCAGAAGUGAAAUCUCUGGGCUCAACCCAGAAACUGCUUUUGAAACUGUUGCCCUUGAGUAUCGGAGAGGCAGGCGGAAUUCCUAGUGUAGCGGUGAAAUGCGUAGAUAUUAGGAGGAACACCAGUGGCGAAGGCGGCCUGCUGGACGACAACUGACGCUGAGGCGCGAAAGCGUGGGGAGCAAACAGGAUUAGAUACCCUGGUAGUCCACGCNGUAAACGAUGAAUACUAGGUGUNGGGNANCUGACCUUUUCNGUGCCGCNGNUAACACAUUAAGUAUUCCACCUGGGGAGU